UACCAGCACCCCGAGUGGUCGGGACGUUUAUUGGGCCUAAAGCAUCCGUAGCCGGUCAUGCAAGUCCUCCGUUAAAUCCACCUGCUUAACAGAUGGGCUGCGGAGGAUACUACAAGGCUAGGAGGCGGAAGAGGCAAGCGGUACUCAGUGGGUAGGGGUAAAAUCCUCUGAUCCAUUGAAGACCACCAGUGGCGAAGGCGGCUUGCCAAUACGCGCUCGACGGUGAGGGAUGAAAGCUGGGGGAGCAAACCGG
Molecule: ribosomal RNA, 253 nt
Filed under: uncultured bacterium
Lineage: Bacteria
Description: partial 16S ribosomal RNA
Rfam family: Archaeal small subunit ribosomal RNA
Source: RNAcentral